This 206-nucleotide long non-coding RNA is filed under the name Theobroma cacao (cacao). RNAcentral's name for it is "long non-coding RNA (TCAC_LNC005527)". The record is from RNAcentral. Lineage: Eukaryota; Viridiplantae; Streptophyta; Magnoliopsida; Malvales; Malvaceae.
UGCAGAGCAGUCUGUAGACAGUUGAUUUUGUCGAGGGUUUGCUUUUGGAUUUGCGCCUUUAGUAAUCGUAGGUCUACAGUCUGUUUAUUUUUGUUAUUUUGGGGCUCACAUGUCAUUGUAAAAUAUUUUUGUCUACCCUAGCACUGUGUGCUAUUAUGUAUAUGAAUUUAUUUUGUUAUUACGCUACAGUAUUUGUUUACGUAGAA